CCUACGGGUGGCUGCAGUAGGGAAUAUUGCGCAAUGGGGGAAACCCUGACGCAGCGACGCCGCGUGAGUGAUGAAGGCCUUCGGGUCGUAAAGCUCUGUCGUAUGGGAAUAACAUAAUGACUGUACCAUGCAAGAAAGGAUCGGCUAACUUCGUGCCAGCAGCCGCGGUAAGACGAGGGAUCCUAGCGUUGUUCGGAAUCAUUGGGCGUAAAGCGGGUGUAGGCGGGCUUUUAAGUCAGAUGUGAAAUCCCAGGGCUCAACCCUGGAAGUGCAUUUGAUACUGGAAGUCUUGAGUGUGGUAGAGGCUAGUAGAAUUCCUGGUGUAGUGGUGAAAUACGUAGAUAGCAGGAGGAAUACCGGAGGCGAAGGCGGAUAGCUGGGCCAACACUGACGCUGAGACCCGAAAGCGUGGGGAUCAAACAGGAUUAGAUACCCUAGUAGUC
This 443-nucleotide ribosomal RNA is filed under the name uncultured bacterium. RNAcentral describes it as "partial 16S ribosomal RNA". It matches the Rfam family "Bacterial small subunit ribosomal RNA", at positions 338 to 795 of the family's 1533-position model. The record is from RNAcentral.